RNAcentral lists this ribosomal RNA (486 nucleotides) under uncultured bacterium. RNAcentral's name for it is "bacterial SSU rRNA". It matches the Rfam family "Bacterial small subunit ribosomal RNA", at positions 28 to 509 of the family's 1533-position model. The record is from RNAcentral.
GACGAACGCUGGCGGCGUGCCUAACACAUGCAAGUCGAACGGAGAUAUGCGAACGAGGCCUUCGGGCGGAGAUUGCAUAUUUUAGUGGCGGACGGGCGAGUAACGCGUGAGCAACCUGCCCUUCAGAGGGGGAUAACGGCUGGAAACGGCCGCUAAUACCGCAUGACAUAUACACAAGGCAUCUUGAGUAUAUCAAAGGAGGAAUCCGCUGAAGGAUGGGCUCGCGUCCGAUUAGCUGGUUGGUGAGGUAACGGCUCACCAAGGCGACGAUCGGUAGCCGAACUGAGAGGUUGAUCGGCCGCAUUGGGACUGAGACACGGCCCAGACUCCUACGGGAGGCAGCAGUGGGGGAUAUUGCACAAUGGAGGAAACUCUGAUGCAGCGACGCCGCGUGGGGGAAGAAGGUCUUCGGAUUGUAAACCUCAGUAGUCAGGGAAGAAGCAAGUGACGGUACCUGAAGAGUAAGCUACCGGCUAACUACGUGCC